RNAcentral lists this long non-coding RNA (2046 nucleotides) under Sparus aurata (gilthead seabream). Its description in RNAcentral is "lncRNA (ENSSAUG00010019055.1)". Lineage: Eukaryota; Metazoa; Chordata; Actinopteri; Spariformes; Sparidae. The record is from RNAcentral.
GGGGAAUGAAAUCAUCUGAUUUCUGAUUUACCUCUGAAUAGUUAAAAUCACAUGAUGACAUACAGUGUUCAGUAGCUGCGGUGUUUUCAAAGAGCAGGAAUUGUACAGAAUCUAACAGAUUAAACCAGAGUAAAAACUGUUAGCAGAGGUGGGAUUCACACCCUGCAGACUCCACUCUGCAGGGUGUGAAUAACACACACACACACACACACACAUGCACACACACUCCUUGAAAUGAAGAUCAAGGAAUCAAGGAGGCGUAUCGACAUGUUUCAUGUUUCAUCUGGCCCAGGAUGUUUAUUUCAUGUCUCUAAUAAUUGACAGUUUAUGGACAGUUUUUAUCUGGUGUAUGCUCAGCACACACUUUCAAAGUGUUAGUCGUGUUAUUUCUUCAGAUACUGAUACACCCGGGUUGGGGAGAAAAAAGUGGAAUAGCAAGAAACCAGUCCAUUAUCGAAGCAGGAACAUUUAGGUUAUCAAUAAAGGAUUCAUUUCGCAUGUAAAACCUGUGGCAUCAGUGGAAAGUCUGCAACAGAAGGUCAAAGGAUUUCUGAUUGUUGAUUGUUCCGUCGGUGACUGAGCCACAUCUCUCCCUCCGUCUCAGUCGGCCGCAUCUUGAAUAAUUCUCACGGCACUGUGAACGGAUGGAUGCCACCGAGACAUUUAUCAGAUCAUUAUGUGUCAUUAUCUGUUCCCAGGUACAAUGGGAGCUAUUUGAAGGAGGCUGACAUGGUUACGUCAGAGCUCGAGCGCCGCAGUUCCCAUCGCGGGCCUUUGGCUGAAGCUCUGCAUCGUCGUAAUCGAACCUGUGGAGCAUCAGGAGACUCUAGCCACCAGCCAUUCUUCAUCAGCCUCUCCAUGGUUUCGUCCAAGGAUCGCAGCUCUCCUGUCUCUCUCCUGAUUUAUUACAAAUUUCCAUGCUUUUUCACAACCUGUUUUAUGGCACCACACAGCAUGUAGUCUGCUGCACUGUUGCGCUUCAUCCUCGCUAAGGAUGAAGAAAGUUAAACGGAUGUCCUGGAGACACAUUUAGUAAAAUCUGCCAUGUCGAGUUUGCUGUCGUUCACAGGGGGUCGCACUGAAGUCAGUCGGCAUUGAGAGGCUGGCAAUCACAGGGCACUGGCGUGCACAGACUCUCUACAGGGCAAAAUGUGAAUGAAUGAAUUAAAGCUGAUGAAAAAUAGUUUGUGCCAGAGGGGUGGAUUAUUCUGCAUUCUUUCCUGAGUAAAAACAUAAGUAUUUUGUAAUAUAUUAAAAACGGUUGAAAUAUACUGAUUUUGUUAUUUUUAUUCUUUUAAAAGUUCCAAGAAUCUGCAAGAGUACAUUUUUUUCAGCUGAGAACCCUCUGACCCUCACAACGGUUUUGAAAUACUCCCUAUUUUUGAAGUCUCAGUGUCAUGAUCCUAUCAUUUUAGUUUCAUUGUAUGUGUGGUUUCUGGGUUUUAGUUGAGUCUUUACCAUGUUGUCUGCCAUUGAGUUACCCUGAUCCUGCCAUUAGGUUGCCCUGAUCCUGCUGUUGAGUUACCCUGAUCCUGUCGUUGAGUUAGCCUGAUCCUGUCGUUGAGUUACCCUGAUCCUGUCGUUGAGUUACCCUGAUCCUGCUGUUGAGUUACUCUGAUCCUGUCAGUGGGUUACCCUGAUCCUACCAUUAGGUUGCCCUGAUCCUGCUGUUGAGUUACCUUGAUCCUGUCGUUGAGUUACCCUGAUCCUGUCGUUGAGUUACCCUGAUCCUGCCAUUAGGUUACUCUGAUCCUGCCAUGUUUCCCUGAUCCUGCCAUGACUCUCGGGUCCUGCCAUGUUUGCCUUUUCCAGCUGUUGGUUCUGAAUAAACCUUAUCACCGUUCUUCCUGCCUGCUGUCUUGUGCAUUUGGCUCCACCUUCUCUGCUUCAACGUGACAUCAAGGUUGGAAAGUACACGAGCAGGAUGCUAGUGCAACUAGAGCUUUCUUGAGCUGUUAUGCUAUGAAAAGUUACAUGAAUGUGAACAUCCACAUUGGCAAAACCUAAUCCAGGCCCAGUGCAAACCAGACAAAAUAUGGAGUUUAC